UCCCUGAUAGCUCAGUUGGUAAAGAAUCUGCCUGCAAUGCAGGAGACCCUGGUUCAAUCCCUAGGUCGGGAA
This is a non-coding RNA of Bos taurus (domestic cattle), 72 nucleotides long. The record is from Rfam. Lineage: Eukaryota; Metazoa; Chordata; Mammalia; Artiodactyla; Bovidae.